UGCAUUUGCUACUGUAAGUCACUCUGGAUAAGAGUGUCUGCUAAAUGACUAAAA
This is a non-coding RNA of Salmo salar (Atlantic salmon), 54 nucleotides long. The record is from Rfam. Lineage: Eukaryota; Metazoa; Chordata; Actinopteri; Salmoniformes; Salmonidae.